RNAcentral lists this transfer RNA (73 nucleotides) under Candidatus Magasanikbacteria bacterium RIFCSPHIGHO2_01_FULL_33_34. RNAcentral's name for it is "tRNA-Lys". It matches the Rfam family "tRNA". Rfam says of the family: Transfer RNA (tRNA) molecules are approximately 80 nucleotides in length. Their secondary structure includes four short double-helical elements and three loops (D, anti-codon, and T loops). The record is from RNAcentral. RNAcentral also lists the same sequence under 3 other names. Lineage: Bacteria; Candidatus Magasanikiibacteriota.
GACUCGGUAGCUCAGCCGGUAGAGCAGCAGCCUUUUAAGCUGACGGUCCUGGGUUCAAUCCCCAGCCGAGUCA